GACUCAGUGCCCACCUCAGGUGAUCAAUCAGAGCUCCAGGCUGUGAUUCAGCAGUUCCCAUACAGUAAGAUAAAACUUCACAGGCCAAGAUGGGGUGCUAUCCCAGGGGAUUUGCAUCUGUGUCUCCAUUUCACACUCUGUGGUGACAUCCUUUUUUGGAUAGGGUCAUAUGAUUGUUUCAAAACUGUGCAAUGGGUUGAGAACAUAAGGCUGCAUGAGUUACAGGCUGAAAUUUUGUAGAUUUUAGCUAAAAUUCUGCUCCUAAACAGUUUUGUUGCUUUAGAAAAAUCUGUUUUUUUCCAGCUGCCUUUUGUUCAGCAAGACUCGCUAUUCCUCCAGAGGCUCUGUCUUGGUUAUUGCUGAUGCAGUGCCAGUGAAUAUCGCGGGGGGGAACAAAUGGCUGAUUUGUUUAUUUUGAUGACUCCAUUCAAUGCAUCUGUAUAGAAAGAUACAGAGAAUUAUUGUGUGAUUAUGUAUUCUUUGGCAUUAAUCUCAGUAGCUAAAGUGAAAUAUUGGGCUAUUAUGAAGUGUGAAUGAGCUUCUAAUGUGAUAAAGAAGGUUAAGAUUUCAGUAGUGGUUUGGUUUUCUUGUCUUUCCUCUUCAGCAUGCCAGAUGGUGCAUCAGUGGGCUUUUAUUGGUUCUUUAUCAAUUUCAUUAAGCAUGUGAUUUGAUUGAUCUUAUUUUGCCCGAGAAAAAAAUCAAUUCAAAUAAUACAACUUACAAGGGCAGUACCCUACCUUAAAGAAAAAGAACCUAACGAACAUAAAAUAUGUCAAAGGCUGGGGUGCUGAGAGGAGCUCUGAAGUGCACCCUUGGAUGAGCAGGGAUAUCAUCAAGUGAUGUGGCCAGCAAGAAGGAAGGACUUCUCCAUCAGACCACAGGAGAACGGUUGUCCCUGGGGAUGCAGCUGAGAACGGUCACCCAGGAACACUAAGCCUGAGGAACUGGCAGGGCAUAUACACCUGUGAGCUUCCCAGAGACAGUUCUUAUAGUUACUGAUAUCCAGAGAGCAUUCAGCUCACCCUUUGUUUUCACAGAGCUGAACAGAGCUGGCUCAAUUGACUGGAUCUUCAUGGAUUGAAAUGGGAGCUCAGGCACCUGGCUCACAUGCAGACACCAUGAUCCAAGAGUUUUGCUUUCCCUAAAUUGAGCACAAGCUGAAUUCCAACAGUAGUUUCUGAAAUUAGGACUACUAUACAUCUGUUUUUCUAAAGAUGAAUGCUUUUUCCACCUCAUACUGGAGUACAGUCAAGGCAGAUUUCUGUGAAAUUGACAUGCUAAAUGAGGGGAGAUAAAUGCCCUCAGACUGAUGCUCAGAGCUUUCCUGCUGUAUAAAAUGGAUGCAACACCACUGCAUGGCAAUGGCAGCACCAGCCCUAAAGCCAACAGUGGGAUUCAUAAACUGCUAGAUCAACCUCACUCAUUGCUGGGAGUGCCCAUCUGGGUGGUUUUAUGCUUUGCUCUCUGUCAGGGUGGUGCCAUCGGGCUGGAGCUCUGUGGAUGGAGUAGGUUUUUCCACACACUAACAGACAGAGGUCUGCUGACAGUGCUGUUGGAGCACAUAUCCCCUCUGUAGCUGUGUGCAUCCCAGGCCAUUUGAAACACCACCCAACAGCCUCAGCUUCCUGAUAAGAAAGAGUGUUUCAGAGUCAAGACUAAAGCAGGAGAUCAAAAAGGAGCUCCGCUCACUCCCCUCAGACCAAAUGGGACAGGGAACAACACAAAUAAAACAGUUCGUGAAGAGGAGAGAGGAAAUGCUGAUGAAGAGAGUGUGAAUGAACACCAUGAAUCCCAUUAAACCUCUGUCUUGUGCAGCAGAUUGCUGCAGGCGGGAAUUUCUGAUGCACUGUCUAACUUUCUGUAGAGUCUUAUCACAUAUAAAACUGCAGUAAUCAUAAUGCCAAGGAAUGAGACAAUGACAAAUGAAAAAGCUUUCAGAAGUUAAUGUUCACAACACACUGCCAGCAAAACACACAAUCUAUUUAAUUAGUAAAAUGCCAUGAGAUACUGCGCAGUUCUGCAUUCAGAGAGACUGUGAGUAAAUAUGUAAGAGUGUUAUAAUACAAUGAGAUGGCUACAUUAAAGACUGAAAUAUAUGUGGCUGGUGAGAUGUAGGCACUGCACAUUAAAAUAAACACAUUGCAUCAUAAAUUCAGCACACUUGACAUCAUAAUGGGCAAUGAAAGCUAUGUCACCUAUGAAAGCAGCUGCACCUCUUUUGGAACCAGUGGCACCAAUGGCUGCAGGCUGACGUAGACUUUCUGAGUCUCUGGUCUUGCUGUUCGAGUAGUCCACAGCCACAAGUACAGCCAAUGGGCUAAGCACUAGUGGGUCUCUGUUUGGGCAGAGGGAAUCAAUCACUUCUCCUUGCCAUAGUGUCAAUUCUGCCAUCACAGCUCUGUUCCUUUUUCUUGGCUCUUCAAUUUGCUCCGCACCUCAGUUUAGACAGCAAAUUCCACACACUAACCCAUGUUGACACCAUCCUCAGUCUUUCCCAUGCAGUUUUCCACCUUUUCCCCUCCUGUUUGGGGACUAAGACAUAGCUUGGGCUGCUCCUGGUGGAGGUAUAACCCAGGUUGCGGUGUCCAUCAGCCACCAGCAGCAGCUCCUUAACGGUCCAAGCCAAGAAAGCUCACAUAUUCCAAGCUCCUACUUUUGUGGCCACAGACUCUUUUCAUCACCUUCCAAGCCUCCUCCGUAACUAAAAGUAUUCUUAAAACAACAGU
Gallus gallus (chicken) is the source of this 2726-nucleotide long non-coding RNA. The record is from Ensembl. NCBI's taxonomy places the organism in Eukaryota, Metazoa, Chordata, Aves, Galliformes, Phasianidae.